This 468-nucleotide ribosomal RNA is filed under the name uncultured bacterium. RNAcentral's name for it is "partial 16S ribosomal RNA". It matches the Rfam family "Bacterial small subunit ribosomal RNA", at positions 28 to 507 of the family's 1533-position model. The record is from RNAcentral.
GACGAACGCUGGCGGCGUGCUUAACACAUGCAAGUCGAACGGAAAGGCCCUGCUUUUGUGGGGUGCUCGAGUGGCGAACGGGUGAGUAACACGUGAGUAACCUGCCCUUUACUUUGGGAUAACUUCAGGAAACUGGGGCUAAUACCGGAUAGGAGCUCCUGCUGCAUGGUGGGGGUUGGAAAGUUUCGGCGGUUGGGGAUGGACUCGCGGCUUAUCAGCUUGUUGGUGGGGUAGUGGCUUACCAAGGCUUUGACGGGUAGCCGGCCUGAGAGGGUGACCGGCCACAUUGGGACUGAGAUACGGCGCAGACGCCUACGGGAGGCAGCAGUGGGGAAUAUUGCAGAAUGGGCGGAAGCCUGAUGCAGCAACGCCGCGUGCGGGAUGACGGCCUUCGGGUUGUAAACCGCUUUCGCCUGUGACGAAGCGUGAGUGACGGUAAUGGGUAAAGAAGCACCGGCUAACUACGUG